Molecule: long non-coding RNA, 781 nt
Organism: Neolamprologus brichardi
Lineage: Eukaryota; Metazoa; Chordata; Actinopteri; Cichliformes; Cichlidae
Source: RefSeq, a predicted model, not a curated record
AGAUAAGAUAAGAUAAGAUAAGAUAAGACUUUAUUGAUCCCACAGUGGUGAAAUUUUGCGUUACCUCAGCUCAGGUAUAAUAUUUAAGGAUAAGGGGUUUUAUGUAUGAAACUUGGAACACAAACUGAAGAUUUCUUACACUGUGGUUUGUAACUCCCCUUGAACAAAAGUGCAAACUGGGUCCAGUUAUGUACUGGUGCAUGCUCAAUCAUCCAGGUAACUAAAUCCCAAAGGGUUGAUUCUGUAAGAUAAGAUAAGAUAAGAUAAGAUAAGAUAAGAUAAGAUAAGAUAAGAUAAGAUAAGAUAAGAUAAGAUAAGAUGUGUCUGGUGAUUCAGGGCUUGUGUGUGUAUUUUUUGUUUUUCUCGCGCUGACAAUCCUCACAGGUCCUCUGGCCCAUAAUUCUUGAUUGUAUAUUCUUCUGUAUAUAAUGUUUGUUGUGUCCUCUCCCUUUUCUUCCAUCUCCCUGCUUGUGGUUAUGUGAGCUCAUGGAAGUUUUGGGUUGCCGGAGGGAUCCUCCUAUGAGUCCCUAAGUGUUCCCGCACUGGAAGCUGCCACACCAGCCGUCACUAGCUGCAGCUGAGGGCCGCGUUUGGAGCUGGAAGCAGAGCACGUUUUUCUCAUGGGAGUAGAGUCACGGUGUGGGAAGAAGAGUUUUGGAGUUGCCUUUUCACCUUUUGGACAUUCUGUACUGCAUUUUGUCACUCACCUAAGUGACUUCUUCAAAAUCAGUGACUCCUCAAUUGGACUAUUCUGAAUAAAAAAGGGUUUUUCAUGCUGCUA